AUGCCACCAUCUAAUUUUGAUUACCCGCAGAGGGAGAUUGGAGAUACUCAACGGAGAUUUAAUCCAGAUUGGUUUAAUGAUUAUGGUCGUCGGCUUGAGUAUAGUGACAAAGUGCAUAAGGCCUUCUGUUUGUGCUGCUACCUUUUCAGAUAUUACAAUGAAGGACAAGCCGGGAGUGAUGCAUUUGCUAUUAACGGUUGGAACGGUUGGAACAAGAAAAGCAGACUUGAUACUCAUGAGGGUAAGGGUAAUGUUAAUAGCUUUCAUAAUGUGGUAGUAAAAAGAUGUGAUGCUUUGAUGAAUCAAGAACAGUCAAUUCAUGUAGCUAUGGAUAAGCAAACUGAUCUUACACAAAAGCAAAAUCGAAUCCGUCUUAAUGCUUUCAUUGAUUCGGUGAGAUACUUGUUGCAUCAAGGCUUAGCAUUCCGAGGCCAUGACGAAUCAGAGGAGACCCAAAAUAAGGGAAAUUUUCGAGAGUUGGUAGAUACUUUGGCAAACCAAAAUGAAGCUAUACGGAAUGUAGUUCUUAAGAAUGCUCCAAAAAACUGUAAGUGGGUAUGUGGAGAUAUUCAAAAGGAAAUUGCAAAUUAUUUUUGCAAAGGUAACAUUAAAUUUUAG
This 618-nucleotide ribosomal RNA is filed under the name Triticum aestivum (bread wheat). RNAcentral describes it as "partial small subunit ribosomal RNA". Lineage: Eukaryota; Viridiplantae; Streptophyta; Magnoliopsida; Poales; Poaceae. The record is from RNAcentral.